Molecule: ribosomal RNA, 376 nt
Filed under: Streptococcus sanguinis
Lineage: Bacteria; Bacillati; Bacillota; Bacilli; Lactobacillales; Streptococcaceae
Description: bacterial SSU rRNA
Rfam family: Bacterial small subunit ribosomal RNA
Source: RNAcentral
GACGAACGCUGGCGGCGUGCCUAAUACAUGCAAGUAGAACGCUGAAGAGAGGAGCUUGCUCUUCUUGGAUGAGUUGCGAACGGGUGAGUAACGCGUAGGUAACCUGCCUGGUAGCGGGGGAUAACUAUUGGAAACGAUAGCUAAUACCGCAUGAUAUUAAUUGUCGCAUGAUAAUUAAUUGAAAGAUGCAAUUGCAUCACUACCAGAUGGACCUGCGUUGUAUUAGCUAGUUGGUGAGGUAACGGCUCACCAAGGCGACGAUACAUAGCCGACCUGAGAGGGUGAUCGGCCACACUGGGACUGAGACACGGCCCAGACUCCUACGGGAGGCAGCAGUAGGGAAUCUUCGGCAAUGGGGGGAAACCCUGACCGAGCA